This 457-nucleotide ribosomal RNA is filed under the name uncultured bacterium. RNAcentral's name for it is "bacterial SSU rRNA". It matches the Rfam family "Bacterial small subunit ribosomal RNA", at positions 340 to 787 of the family's 1533-position model. The record is from RNAcentral.
UACGGGAGGCAGCAGUGGGGAAUAUUGCACAAUGGGCGAAAGCCUGAUGCAGCUAUGCCGCGUGUAUGAAGAAGGCCUUAGGGUUGUAAAGUACUUUCAUCGGGGAGGAAAAAACAAAACUAAUAAUUUUAUUUCUUGACGUUACCCGAAAAAGAAGCACCGGCUAACUCCGUGCCAGCAGCCGCGGUAAUACGGAGGGUGCUAGCGUUAAUCAGAAUUACUGGGCGUAAAGAGCACGUAGGUGGUUUUUUUAAAGUCAGAUGUGAAAUCCCUGGGCUUAACCUAGGAACUGCAUUUUGAAACUGAAAUACUAGAGUAUCGUAGAGGGAGGUAGAAUUCUAGGUGUAGCGGUGAAAUGCGUAGAUAUCUGGAGGAAUACCUGUGGCGAAAGCGGCCUCCUAAACGAAUACUGACACUGAGGUGCGAAAGCGUGGGGAGCAAACAGGAUUAGAGUACC